GUGAGAAGGCACCUGUCAAGCCAAGGAGAGAUACCUCAGAAGAAACCAAACCUGCAGACUUCUGGACUUCAGUCCUCCAGAACUGGACCAGAAGUUUCACCGCCUUUUUCCAGACCUCUAGGAGAACUGGUUGGAUGAGGUGGUUGGAUGGCAUCACCGACUCAAUGGACAUGAGUUUGGGUAGACUCCAGGAGUUGGUGAUGGACAGGGAGGCCUGGCGUGCUGCAGUCCAUGGGGUCACAAAGAAUUGGAC
This is a long non-coding RNA of Bos taurus (domestic cattle), 253 nucleotides long. NCBI's taxonomy places the organism in Eukaryota, Metazoa, Chordata, Mammalia, Artiodactyla, Bovidae. The record is from Ensembl.